This is a non-coding RNA of Bos taurus (domestic cattle), 72 nucleotides long. NCBI's taxonomy places the organism in Eukaryota, Metazoa, Chordata, Mammalia, Artiodactyla, Bovidae. The record is from Rfam.
UCCCUGGUGGCUUAGAGGGUAAAGCAUCCGCCUGCAAGGCGGGAGACCUCGGUUCAAUCCCUGGGUCGGGAA